Molecule: ribosomal RNA, 339 nt
Filed under: uncultured bacterium
Lineage: Bacteria
Description: partial 16S ribosomal RNA
Rfam family: Bacterial small subunit ribosomal RNA
Source: RNAcentral
CCUACGGGUGGCAGCAGUAGGGAAUUUUGCGCAAUGGGGGAAACCCUGACGCAGCAACGCCGCGUGAUCGAUGAAGCCCUUCGGGGUGUAAAGAUCUGUCAGUGGGGACGAAACCUGACGGUACCCACAGAGGAAGCACCGGCUAACUCCGUGCCAGCAGCCGCGGUAAUACGGGGGGUGCAAGCGUUGUCCGGAAUCAUUGGGCGUAGAGAGUUCGUAGGUGGCACGUUAAGUCUGGUGUUAAAGGCGGAAGCUCAACGUCCGUAGGGCACUGGAUACUGGCGCGCUUGAAUGCGGGAGAGGGAGAGGGAGUGCGGGGUGUAGCGGUGAAAGGCGUAG